AAGUCAUAACAAGGUUUCCGUAGGUGAACCUGCGGAAGGAUCAUUAGUGAUUUGGCCGAAAGGCCUUUAAUCCAAUCCUCACACCUGUGAACAUGUCGGUCUUGACCCCUCCGGGGGUCUGCCGGUCUUUACAAUACUAUGUGUCAUGAACGUGAUGUAUAUAUAACAAAAAUAAAACUUUCAACAACGGAUCUCUUGGCUCUC
RNAcentral lists this unclassified non-coding RNA (204 nucleotides) under air metagenome. Its description in RNAcentral is "partial contains small subunit ribosomal RNA, internal transcribed spacer 1, and 5.8S ribosomal RNA". The stretch from base 1 to 46 matches the Rfam family "Eukaryotic small subunit ribosomal RNA", at positions 1786 to 1831 of the family's 1831-position model. The record is from RNAcentral.